ACAGCAGCAGCCGCGGGAAUACAGAGGGUGCGAGCGUUAAUCGGAUUUACUGGGCGUAAAGCGUGCGUAGGCGGCUUUUUAAGUCGGAUGUGAAAUCCCUGAGCUUAACUUAGGAAUUGCAUUCGAUACUGGGAAGCUAGAGUAUGGGAGAGGAUGGUAGAAUUCCAGGUGUAGCGGUGAAAUGCGUAGAGAUCUGGAGGAAUACCGAUGGCGAAGGCAGCCAUCUGGCCUAAUACUGACGCUGAGGUACGAAAGCAUGGGGAGCAAACAGGAUUAGAUACCCGCGUAGUCCCUGUCUCUUAUAA
This 305-nucleotide ribosomal RNA is filed under the name uncultured bacterium. RNAcentral describes it as "partial 16S ribosomal RNA". It matches the Rfam family "Bacterial small subunit ribosomal RNA", at positions 505 to 809 of the family's 1533-position model. The record is from RNAcentral.